CUGGGGAUUCUACACACUCCAAAAUCUGAAGAGUAAGCAAAAAUAAUGCUUCUGCUUAAACCCUUCACAGUUUAUAGCCACAUUUACAUAGCAUUAAAUAAGUCAACAAAGGCAUCAUUAGCUCCCAUUAAAAUAUGAGCAAAGAAAUUUAAACGAACAAGACAGGCUAAUUGGUAAGUAAUGUUGUGUAUCAAAAAUUAUGACUGUAAGAUACCCCAGUUAAUGAGAAGCCCUACAAUCAUGUUUACUACAUAUUUAAAAAUUAAAUGAAGGUGAAUAAAAGUUAACAGAAAAGAUUUUCCUCUUCAUAGAUGCUACCGUGUCUGUUUUUCAAAGUUAAAAUUGAAAAGCAGCUUAGUGAUCUCAUUACUGAGGCUUCUCAUUUUGCAGUUAACAAAACUAAGAGCUCCUUUUCCUUUAAGCCUUCCCUUCCAAGUAUGUGAAGAACUAUUGUUUUCCUUACUGCACAAGCUGAGCUUGAAGUGGUUGUGAAUUCCGAAUACUUAGUUGUCAGUUACAGUCCCAAGCUGGGACUCAGAAGAAAUCGGUACAGAGCAGCAGAAUCGAUAGUCAUUGGUAUGUUUCUUGGUAGCUAAACUCAUGGAGAUUAUUGAGACUUUCCAAGAAGAAAAGAUGAGAAAACCAGGGGGCAGGAUGAAAUCCUGAGGUUCUUCCAUUUUUAUCUUACCAUGAAAGUUUGUUACCUGUUAUAAUCGUAUAAAUUAGAUGUAAGUAACUGAGACCCUUCCCCCAUGGCUGAGGCUGUUCUGUGUGACAUUCAAAGAUAAUGGUUAAAUAUAAAUAAAUCUUGAAAAAUNNNNNNNNNNNNNNNNNNNNNNNNNNNNNNNNNNNNNNNNNNNNNNNNNNNNNNNNNNNNNNNNNGUGUAAUCUUUUCCUUUCUGAAAACUCUGACUCAGGACAGCUGCUAAAAUCUCUCCUCCUUUCAAACUUCUUACUCUUUCUCUACAAUUCUUUCCACCACUCCUCUGCUUUCUUUCCAGGUAUCUUUUCUCUUUUCCCAAAGUCAUGCUGCUGCUCUUAAACUGAAAGUCCCUGUUGAGCUUUCUGCUUCAAGUCAUACUGGGCUUGCUAAGGAUGGUUUGAAAGCUCCGUAAUACCCAUUUUCCUUUACCACACAUAGGAAAGCAUGGAAAGUCCCAGCUCCUUCACCUGCCCCCAGACAUGUUUUUCAUUUGUUUUCUUAUUUAAAAUUCUUAUGAAUAAUUUCUGAUAAGUCAAUUUUCUGUGACACUGUAAACAACAGUCCCCUAAAGGUUUCUGCUAACCUGAAAAUUUUAUAAGCACAUAUUAUUAAUAUAAACAGUUGCUAACAAUUUCACUGGGACUGAGUCAAAGGUAGAAUCUAGUGGCAUGCCAAGAGAGACCUUCCCUAGGUUGAGUAAGAUCACUUUUACUUGAAUCGUAUUGGAGUGACUACACUAAGUGACUAUUCAUCACUAAACUUCACAACUGGUGUAGGUGUAGCGAGU
This 1490-nucleotide long non-coding RNA is filed under the name Capra hircus (goat). Its description in RNAcentral is "lncRNA (ENSCHIG00010003940.1)". The record is from RNAcentral. Lineage: Eukaryota; Metazoa; Chordata; Mammalia; Artiodactyla; Bovidae.